RNAcentral lists this ribosomal RNA (468 nucleotides) under uncultured bacterium. RNAcentral's name for it is "partial 16S ribosomal RNA". It matches the Rfam family "Bacterial small subunit ribosomal RNA", at positions 28 to 507 of the family's 1533-position model. The record is from RNAcentral.
GACGAACGCUGGCGGCGUGCUUAACACAUGCAAGUCGAACGGAAAGGCCCUGCUUUUGUGGGGUGCUCGAGUGGCGAACGGGUGAUUCACACGUGAGUAACCUGCCCUUGACUUUGGGAUAACUUCAGGAAACUUGGGCUAAUACCGGAUAGGAGCUCCUGCUGCAUGGUGGGGGUUGGAAAGUUUCGGCGGUUGGGGAUGGACUCGCGGCUUAUCAGCUUGUUGGUGGGGUAGUUGCUUACCAAGGCUUUGACGGGUAGCCGGCCUGAGAGGGUGACCGGGCACAUGGGGACUGAGAGACGGCCCAGACUGCUACGGGAGGCAGCAGUGGGGAAUAUUGCACAAUGGGCGGAAGCCUGAGGCAGAAACGCCGCGGGCGGGAUGAGGGCCUUCGGGUUGUAAACCGCUGUCGCCUGUGACGAAGCGUGAGUGACGGUAAUGGGUAAAGAAGCACCGGCUAACUACGUG